UGAGGAAUAUUGGACAAUGGGCGCAAGCCUGAUCCAGCCAUGCCGCGUGCAGGAUGACGGUCCUAUGGAUUGUAAACUGCUUUUGUACAGGAAGAAACAGUUCUACGUGUAGAACCUUGACGGUACUGUAAGAAUAAGGAUCGGCUAACUCCGUGCCAGCAGCCGCGGUAAUACGGAGGAUCCAAGCGUUAUCCGGAAUCAUUGGGCGUAAAGGGUGUCGAGGCGGUUGUAUUAGUCGUUCGUAAAAUCUACGAGCUUAACUUGUAGGCGGCGAACGAAACGGUACGACUUGAGGUUUGGAGAGGUGCGUGCAACUCACGGUGUAGGGGUGAAAUCCGUUGAUAUCGUGGGGAACACCAAAGGCGAAGGCAGCGCACUGGCCAAAAUCUGACGCUCACACACGAAAGCUAGGGUAGCGAAGAGGAUUAGAUACCCCCGUAGUCCCUGAGCGGGCUGGCAAGGCGCAU
This 467-nucleotide ribosomal RNA is filed under the name uncultured bacterium. RNAcentral's name for it is "bacterial SSU rRNA". It matches the Rfam family "Bacterial small subunit ribosomal RNA", at positions 355 to 825 of the family's 1533-position model. The record is from RNAcentral.